UACGGAGGGUGCAAGCGUUAAUCGGAAUUACUGGGCGUAAAGAGUGCGUAGGUGGUUAAUUAAGUUAUCUGUGAAAUCCCUGGGCUCAACCUGGGCAGGUCAGAUAAUACUGGUUAACUCGAGUAUGGGAGAGGGUAGUGGAAUUUCCGGUGUAGCGGUGAAAUGCGUAGAGAUCGGAAGGAACACCAGUGGCGAAGGCGGCUACCUGGCCCAAUACUGACACUGAGGCACGAAAGCGUGGGGAGCAAACAGG
This 253-nucleotide ribosomal RNA is filed under the name uncultured bacterium. RNAcentral's name for it is "partial 16S ribosomal RNA". It matches the Rfam family "Bacterial small subunit ribosomal RNA", at positions 524 to 776 of the family's 1533-position model. RNAcentral also lists the same sequence under 1 other name. The record is from RNAcentral.